AGAACCUUACCCACGCUUGACAUGCCAAGGAUCGUCGCCAGAGAUGGCUUCUUCCCUUCGGGGCCUUGGACACAGGUGCUGCAUGGCUGUCGUCAGCUCGUGUCGUGAGAUGUUGGGUUAAGUCCCGCAACGAGCGCAACCCUCGCCUUUAGUUGCCAGCAUGUUUGGGUGGGCACUCUAAAGGAACUGCCGGUGGCAAGCCGGAGGAAGGUGGGGAUGACGUCAAGUCCUCAUGGCCCUUACGCGUGGGGCUACACACGUGCUACAAUGGCGGUGACAGAGGGUUAAUCCCUAAAAGCCGUCUCAGUUCGGAUUGUCCUCUGCAACUCGAGGGCAUGAAGUUGGAAUCGCUAGUAAUCGCGGAUCAGAAUGCCGCGGUGAAUACGUUCCCGGGCCUUGUACACACCG
This 408-nucleotide ribosomal RNA is filed under the name uncultured bacterium. Its description in RNAcentral is "bacterial SSU rRNA". It matches the Rfam family "Bacterial small subunit ribosomal RNA", at positions 965 to 1392 of the family's 1533-position model. The record is from RNAcentral.